AGGUGUGAACUGUAAAACUGGCUGCCACCCAGAGAAUGGAUUUUGUGAAUUUCCCAGUGAAUGCAGGUGUCAACCUGGUUGGCAGGGUGCUCUUUGUAAUCAGUGUGUUCCUUUCCCUGGGUGUUUGCACGGCAGCUGUGCCAAGCCCUGGCAGUGCAUCUGUGAGGAGGGCUGGGUUGGCAGCCUCUGUGACAUAGAUAUUCACCCAUGUUCUGCAAAGCCCUGCACCAAUAAUGCAACAUGCAUAGAGACUGGUGAUGGAGGAUAUAUUUGUCUGUGUGCCCAGGGUUUUACAGGAAAAAACUGCCAUCUCAAAAAAGGACCCUGCAUUAUUAAUGG
Antrostomus carolinensis (chuck-will's-widow) is the source of this 339-nucleotide long non-coding RNA. RefSeq lists it as uncharacterized. Lineage: Eukaryota; Metazoa; Chordata; Aves; Caprimulgiformes; Caprimulgidae. The record is from RefSeq and is a predicted model, not a curated record. The transcript is spliced from 3 exons.